GUUGGGAGAUCCCAGGAUGGAAUAUGGAAUGUCACAGAAGAACCUGACUGCAUCAUGAAUGCAUGAAACAGCCUCACUGAAGAUGGUGCGGGGAAGCUGCUGACCUGGGUGGAUUUGGAAAUGAGUGGAGUCCGUGAGACUAAAGGAAGGAAGCUCUGACACAUACCAGGACGCGGAUGAACCAUGAAGACAUUAGGCUAAGUGAAAUAGUAAGCCGGAUGCAAAAGAACACAUAAUAUGAUUCCACUUACAUGGGGUCCCUGGAGGAGGCAAAUCAUGGAGAGGGAAGAGCAUGGCUUCAUUCCCCUCGGAGUGCUGGAAAUCUAAAUGAAGGCAAACCAAAGGCAAUUUUUCCUAGAAAAUGGUGGACGGAUGGUUCUGCCAGUCUGUGGGGUUCCUGGGGCCCUCCCCAGGGCUCCUUGUUCAUGGGGAUGUGCCCACACUGCCACGCAUGCCCAGCACUGCUCCAGCAACGCUGCAAAACGCGGAACCCAGGAAGACCAGGAGGAAGAUGUCCAGCAUCCCACCAGCAGGGACACAGAUGGUUGAUAAACUUUCUUCCUUUCUCUCGAUUUACCGGCCUGAUUUUGUGACAGGAAUAUGGAAGAAAAGCUCAAACCUCUCACCAUAAACCUUUGAGGACUCACUGGUGACAGUCUCCUGACACCCUCUUCCCAGAGCUCGAGUGGAACCGCCCCACAGUGAGAACGACGCAGCCGAGGGAGGGUUUCAGCAGCGUCUCCUUCAGAGACGGGAACUUUGUUCCCCGGCGGCCACCUUAGCGGAAAGACCUAGUGCUCGUGAGACUCAUGAGAGGAUGGCGUGUCCCCGAAGCCUAUCACAACAAAGGGGCUCCUCAGAGCAUUUCCCAGCAGGAGGCAGAUCCGAGGACAAGACACAAAGGUGCAGUUCAGAGGAGGUUGGGUGGGUGGGCCCUUUCUUCCUGCAGCAUCUGAAAGUCAUCUGAUCAAUCAAGCUGACACCUUCUCCCACGAGGAGAAGCGAAGACUCACAUUGUCAAGGAGCCUUUGAAGUACAAAGAUCUUUUUUCAAUAUAUAGAAUUCCUACGUUACUAAGAUAAAUGGGGGAAGAGUUGACAUUUAUUGCGCAUAAUUUAAAUUCAAAUUGGCUCCCAGUAAAGGAAAAUUACAAGAUAUUCUGAACUGUUUGCCUUCAGUUCUGCUCCCUUUGCUGAAAUGAGGGGUCUAAACUGCUUUAGAUCUGCCUUAAUUUUUAUAAUUUAGACAACAAAACUGUACUAUGGAAUAUCAGGAAACAAAUAUUUUUAUUUUUCAAAUGAAGUUACCCC
This 1310-nucleotide long non-coding RNA is filed under the name Equus caballus (horse). Its description in RNAcentral is "lncRNA (ENSECAG00000051458.1)". Lineage: Eukaryota; Metazoa; Chordata; Mammalia; Perissodactyla; Equidae. The record is from RNAcentral.